CAGAGCUUGCUCUGUGGGUGGCGAGUGGCGGACGGGUGAGGAAUACGUGGGAAUCUGCCCAGUCGUGGGGAUAACGUAGGAAACUUACGCUAAUACCGCAUGCGCCCUUCGGGGGAAAGCCGGGGACCUUCGGGCCUGGCGCGAUUGGAUGAGCCCACGUCGGAUUAGCUAGUUGGCGGGGUAAAGGCCCACCAAGGCGACGAUCCGUAGCUGGUCUGAGAGGAUGAUCAGCCACACUGGAACUGAGACACGGUCCAGACUCCUACGGGAGGCAGCAGUAGGGAAUAUUGGACAAUGGGCGCAAGCCUGAUCCAGCCAUGCCGCGUGAGUGAAGAAGGCCCUCGGGUUGUAAAGCUCUUUUGUCCGGAAAGAAAAGCGCCGGGUUAAUACCCUGGUGUCCUGACGGUACCGGAAGAAUAAGCACCGGCUAACUUCGUGCCAGCAGCCGCGGUAAUACGAAGGGUGCAAGCGUUACUCGGAAUUACUGGGCGUAAAGCGUGCGUAGGUGGUUCGUUAAGUCCGAUGUGAAAGCCCUGGGCU
Molecule: ribosomal RNA, 540 nt
Filed under: uncultured bacterium
Lineage: Bacteria
Description: bacterial SSU rRNA
Rfam family: Bacterial small subunit ribosomal RNA
Source: RNAcentral